AUUCGCCCGCCGCGCGCGGCGGGCGGGGCGGGGGCACGGGGGGCCUACGGGAGGCAGCAGUGAGGAAUAUUGGUCAAUGGGCGCGAGCCUGAACCAGCCAAGCAGCGUGAAGGACGACUGCCCUAUGGGUUGUAAACUUCUUUUGUCAGGGAAUAAAGUGUGCCACGUGUGGCAUUUUGUAUGUACCUUACGAAUAAGCAUCGGCUAAUUCCGUGCCAGCAGCCGCGGUA
Molecule: ribosomal RNA, 230 nt
Filed under: uncultured soil bacterium
Lineage: Bacteria
Description: partial 16S ribosomal RNA
Rfam family: Bacterial small subunit ribosomal RNA
Source: RNAcentral